RNAcentral lists this long non-coding RNA (703 nucleotides) under Pan troglodytes (chimpanzee). RNAcentral describes it as "lncRNA (ENSPTRG00000053910.1)". The record is from RNAcentral. Lineage: Eukaryota; Metazoa; Chordata; Mammalia; Primates; Hominidae.
UAAGAACGCAUUGCAGGUCAGCUGGCUGAACCUCAUUGUGACCUGGGAGCCCUGCAUGAUGAAGGGAUGAUGGGUGAGCUACCAAGGCUAACUUUUUCCUGAGGACAUUGAGUUAGGGAAGUGGCCUCUCCUUGAGGGAAGGAGCCAGAUGACUUCUCAGAGAACAACAACCAUAUUCAAAAUAUUCUCAAGUUUCUUUUGUUUCUUCUUGUCUGCAUCUGAUAUCCAGGACAUUAUUCCACAGGAAAAGGUUAACAGGAGAUCAAGAUCGGCCAGGAGAACCCCACUAUGAAGCCGGUCAGGUGGGGAGACAGCACUUCCAUUCUCUUUAAAUGACAGAAAUGUCUAAUUUCUGAGACUCUCUGUCUUGUGGAGCACUGUCGUCUUCAUGGACACAGGCAGGAUGGCAAGGCUCAAGGGUGGUAUUCAACAAUUUUUUCAGUUUCUACAGCAAAUUUCUAAUACUAGCUGCAUAUCUAUAAAAUCAUCAGAUCAUUGGAAGGUAAUUACUUUCUAUAUUGCAGAUGGAGUUCUAUUAGGUUUUCACUGAGGCAUCAAUAAAUAAUGACACAAUUUCUCAAUAAAAAGAACUCAUUUGGUAAAUUUUCCAAGACAGCUAUUUUCUUGCUCGCUGAAGACAUGACAAGCAAUAUAAGUUGAAAUAGAAACUAAAUUUGUCUUAAUUAUAUCUAUGUAUUCUAGG